Molecule: ribosomal RNA, 200 nt
Filed under: uncultured bacterium
Lineage: Bacteria
Description: partial 16S ribosomal RNA
Rfam family: Bacterial small subunit ribosomal RNA
Source: RNAcentral
GAUGAACGCUAGCGGCAGGCCUAAUACAUGCAAGUCGAACGAGAUUAUCCAGCUUGCUGGAUAUGAGAGUGGCGCACGGGUGCGUAACGCGUAUGCAACCUACCUUAAUCAGGGGGAUAGCCCGAAGAAAUUCGGAUUAACACCGCAAUAAAAAACCACAGGAUAGCAUUAUCCAAUGUUCAAAUAUUUAUAGGAUUAAG